GAGGGAAAACGGGAAGAGAGAGAGCAGAGAGAAGAAGCAAGACUGCUACAUCUCUCAUACUGAACGCUGAGCACUGAUCACUAGAAAUCAUGUUCUACGUGCCACGCAGGAAGCUGUGUGAUGAGUGUGCACACACAGCGGCCAUCUGCUCGGGAGCUGGGCUCUGAGUCCCAGGGCCCCGUGCUGGGUCAGCACUCUCCACCACAGGCACUGGGAAGUGACUUUCUCUGUUUGCCACUCUCUCCUGUGUGCAAGCCUUUGCUUCUAGGAAAGAGGGAAGAAAUGGUCCAUGAAGUUUUAUGUGCCUUGAAAAAAACAGAAACAUCAUCAGAGAAAUUACAGACCAUGCUAUGGGCAGACUGCAGCAAAGAAGGGGCCUGUGGCCAGGCUGGCCUACUGCCUAUAAGAAGCAGAGAAGGCCAGUGGGGACAACAGAACCACAGCCUCAGAGGACUGGGACAAUUUGACCAAGUGUGGAGAAGCAAAAGCCUUACAGGAAAAGAAAAAGAUUUUUCGUGUCCUUCAGAUAUUUUGGAGGUCCUUCCUGUAACUAAAUGACUAGGAAAAUUAUACACCCAGCCCAAGUUUUCAUCCACAAGACAAGGAUGAAUGGUGCAAGAAUCAAGUGCCUGGGAACUAUGGAAGAGACAGGCAGUGGCCACCUGGUAACCACCAAAAACAAGCAAGAAGACAGAAGCCCUGGUUUGCUGGGCACAGCAAAAGGUUGGAAAGAGUUCGACUCUCUGAUGACAUCAUUAAGCACCUUACAUCUAUACCAGAAAUGGCCUCCAUCUGGUCUUCCUGAUACCUGAGAACAAGAAACACUUAUUUCUUUAAGGCAACUAAAUUAAUUCAUGCAAUACUCAUAGCCAAAAUUAUUACUAAGUGAUACAAUGACUGUCUUAUUUGAGAAUAGAGAAAUAGUAUCCUGGAUCAAUAGGAAUGAAGGGCCCAUGUAAGAGAUUCCCUGCUUCCAGGAAAAAGUAUCCUUAAAUCAUCUCUUCCAUUUAGUCCCUAUCAUUCAUGGCCAAACAUAAUGAUGCAGAAUUAUUCCUUAGAUGCUGAAUCCUUGGCCUCCACAGCCUCACUGUUUCUCACCAGCCAAUUCCCUCUAUUCCACAUCGCCCUUUAUUAUUUUCCAUCCAUUAAUCAUUUGCAUUGUUCAAGUUCACAAUAUUCCAAACUCUGCCCAUUUCAAUUAGAUACCAGGGUCACAGACAUAAGCCGGCAGCCCUGACCUGUGCAGGGCUAACCUCAGAGGCGGCUGGAUUCCUGCAGGCUCUAUUUCCAUGUAUGCCAUCUUGAGUCCAGGACUAGAUAAUUUCACUCAUCUAGAAAAUUAAGGUGAAUAAGAGAAUAGAAAACUGGAAUGGCAUAUGGUCUAGCUUCCUGAAUUUGUGUGAUUAUCCAUUAUCAAAUAGCAGGCACUGAGUUAUUAAGUCUAUUGACAGAUGCAAUGUAAUUUUCUUCAAACAGAUAACUGAUCCUGGAGCUGAUAGGAUUUGACUGUACCAUGCCCACUCCCUGAUAUUUUUAUCAUUCUUCACUUUCUUCAUUCCCUGCUCUAUGUUAUCAAAUUACCAGAAUAAAUAUAUACACAGAACUAAAGCAAUAUGGGAUGCCUUAAAUUUAUACUCAGGGCUCUCUUUAUUUAGUUACAUAAAAUUUUCUGACUGAGCAGCACUGCUUUCUAGUCUUGGGACAAAGAACAAUAAAAAUAAGUAGAAAAAUAACAAUGAAAUGUAUUCAUGGAAAAUACAAUGAAAUUGAAAUGAAA
Molecule: non-coding RNA, 1777 nt
Organism: Manis javanica (Malayan pangolin)
Lineage: Eukaryota; Metazoa; Chordata; Mammalia; Pholidota; Manidae
Source: RefSeq, a predicted model, not a curated record